ACAAGAGAAAGCUUUAUACAAGUAUUGGAUUGCUUGAAUGUUUCUUGGAUGCAAAUGCCAAAUGCCUCUAGCCUAUUUAUAGUUGCUAGAGUCCCAAACUAAUGGCUAAGAUCUAUUCUAAUCAAUGGCUAAGAUCAAAGAUCUAGAGAGUUCUACCAAUCUCUACAAAUCUCUACACCUAGUAGAAUAUACAAGAUGGGACUAGAAGGGUCUAGAGUCUUCCAUUGGAAGGAUCUAGACUCUACACCUAGUAGAAUAUACAAGAUGGGACUAGAAGGGUCUAGAGUCUUCCAUUGGAAGGAUCUAGACUUAGCUAGAGAAAUGCUGCCAUCCGCGCGCCAAAUCAUUGCCAAUGUGCCGC
This 361-nucleotide long non-coding RNA is filed under the name Nicotiana benthamiana. RNAcentral's name for it is "long non-coding RNA (NBEN_LNC033475)". The record is from RNAcentral. Lineage: Eukaryota; Viridiplantae; Streptophyta; Magnoliopsida; Solanales; Solanaceae.